This 706-nucleotide ribosomal RNA is filed under the name Rhizoprionodon porosus (Caribbean sharpnose shark). RNAcentral describes it as "partial 16S ribosomal RNA". The record is from RNAcentral. Lineage: Eukaryota; Metazoa; Chordata; Chondrichthyes; Carcharhiniformes; Carcharhinidae.
AUCUAAUAUAUUACAAUUUUUAACUAAAACAUUCUUAUUUUAGUAUGGGCGACAGAACAAUAACCUCAGCGCAAUAGCUUAUGUACCGCAAGGGAACGCUGAAAAAGAAAUGAAACAAAUCAUUAAAGUACUAAAAAGCAGAGAUUAUACCUCGUACCUUUUGCAUCAUGAUUUAGCUAGAAAAAUUAGGCAAAAAGACUUUAAGUCUACCUCCCCGAAACUAAAUGGGCUACUCCGAAGCAGCAUUAUAGAGCCAACCCGUCUCUGUGGCAAAAGAGUGGGUGAAAAGCCUACCGAAUUUAGUGAUAGCUGGUUACCCAAGAAAAGAACUUCAAUCCUGCAUUAAUUUUUCUACCUAGACAAGAUUUACUCGUCAAAGAAUUUAUAAGAAUUAAUAGUUAUUCAGAAGAGGUACAGCCCUUCUGAACAAAGACACAACUUUUUAAGGUGGGAAAUGAUCAUAAUUAUUAAGGUUAUCCCCUCAGUGGGCCUAAAAGCAGCCACCUGUUAAGCAAGCGUCGUAGCUCCAGCAACCUUUAAUUUAGAUAUCUACUCACUACCCCCUUAUUUUAUAAAAAAGAACUUAUGCUAAAAUGAGUAAUAAGAGAACAAAUCUCUCCCGACACAAGUAUACAUCAGAAGAAUUAAUUCACUGAUAAUUAAACGACCCCAAACUGAGGUCACCAACUAGAAAACCCUAUUCCCC